This 253-nucleotide ribosomal RNA is filed under the name uncultured bacterium. RNAcentral describes it as "partial 16S ribosomal RNA". It matches the Rfam family "Bacterial small subunit ribosomal RNA", at positions 524 to 776 of the family's 1533-position model. The record is from RNAcentral.
UACAGAGGGUGCGAGCGUUAAUCGGAAUUACUGGGCGUAAAGCGCGCGUAGGCGGCAUUGCAAGUCGGGUGUGAAAUCCCCAGGCUUAACCUGGGAACUGCAUUCGAGACUGCAUCGCUAGAGUAUGGGAGAGGGAAGUGGAAUUUCCGGUGUAGCGGUGAAAUGCGUAGAUAUCGAGAGGAACACCUGCGGCGAAGGCGGGUUGCUGGGCUGACACUGACGCUGAGGCGCGAAAGCUAGGGGAGCGAACGGG